GACGAACGCUGGCGGCGUGCUUAACACAUGCAAGUCGAACGAUGAAGUUCCUUCGGGAAUGGAUUAGUGGCGAACGGGUGAGGAACACGUGAGAAACCUGCCUUUCAUUUUGGGAUAACUCCGGGAAACCGGGGCUAAAACCGAAUACUCCGUCUCGGCGGCAUCGCUGAGCCGGGAAAAAAUUUUGAUGAAAGAUGGUCUCGCGGCCUAUCAGCUAGUUGGUGAGGUAAUGGCUCACCAAGGCAACGACGGGUACCCGGCCUGAGAGGGCGACCGGCCACACUGGGACUGAGACACGGCCCAGGAUCCUACGGGAGGCUGCAGUGGGGAAUAUUUGGCAAUGGGCGCAAGCCUGACCCAGCGACGCCGAGUGAGGGAUGAAGGCCUUCGGGUUGUAAACCUCUUUCAGUAGGGAAGAAGCGAAAGUGACGGUACCUAAAGAAGAAGCACCGGCUAACUAUGUGCCAGCAGCCGCAGUAA
Molecule: ribosomal RNA, 480 nt
Filed under: uncultured bacterium
Lineage: Bacteria
Description: partial 16S ribosomal RNA
Rfam family: Bacterial small subunit ribosomal RNA
Source: RNAcentral